RNAcentral lists this transfer RNA (77 nucleotides) under Planctomycetes bacterium DG_58. RNAcentral describes it as "tRNA-Trp". It matches the Rfam family "tRNA". From Rfam's summary of the family: Transfer RNA (tRNA) molecules are approximately 80 nucleotides in length. RNAcentral also lists the same sequence under 4 other names. The record is from RNAcentral. Lineage: Bacteria; Pseudomonadati; Planctomycetota.
AGGGGAGUAGCUCUAACUGGCAGAGCGCCGGUCUCCAAAACCGGAUGUUGUGGGUUCGAAUCCCGCCUCCCCUGCCA